GGCAGAACAGCCCGGCUGGGGAAGGAGGCAGGUGCCCCAGGAAGCUCUUGAAGGUCAGGGCCGUGGCUCUUGGGCCUUGAAGUCCUCCCUGACCCGGUGACCUUGGCGGCCCCCUCGUGUGCCUUCCGGGGGCGGGGGCGGGGGGCAGCCGGCGAAGCCCCUGCCUGCCAGCCUGGCUGCUGUGAGGACAGACCCCAGGGAUGGGAGAGCAGCAGGAGCCCCCACCCGUCAGGGCGGAGACAGGGAGACUCGGCAAUGCGCCAGCGCAGGUGGCGGCGGGGCCGGGGUAGCGGCUCCGGGCCAAGGAGCGCGGACCUGGCGAAGCCUCCCAUUUAGCCCAAAGCCUGAACUCUUCCCUCCGGAGCGUCCGUCCAGUGUGUGGCCCAAAACUGCAUUUCCCAGCACAUCAAACCCGCAGCAGCACGGCCCGACCUGCAGCAGAGGCCUUCUGUGACCUGUGGGGUCCUGCGGGGCCUUCAUGACCUGUGGAGUCCUGCGGAGCCUUCCGUGACCCGGGGGAUCUUGCAGGGCCUUCGUGACCUGUGGGGUCCUGCGGGGCCUUCCAUGACCUGUGGUGUCCUGCGGAGCCUUCCGUGACCCGGGGGAUCUUGCAGGGCCUUCGUGACCUGUGGGGUCCUGCGGGGCCUUCAUGACCUGUGGAGUCCUGCGGGCCUUCCGUGACCUGUGGGGUCCUGCAGGGCCGUGCCCCACUCAAAGCACCAGCCCACAGGAUCCGUGCCAGAGGGUCCGACAGCUGGAAAUGGAAACAGAUGGGUGCAGAGAGCCUGAAGGGGAGGACACGUGAUGGAGCCUGUUCUGAAAUCGGAGUGUGGAGAAGCCAGGAGCAGUAAGAGGUCACGUUCUCACAGCAAAGCAGCGGGGCUGAAGUGCCACACGUUACCUUUAAGAUGUUUCCUCUGCAAGUCACGGGAUCCACUGAGAGCCCUAGCGGUUAAGAAUUCCUUUAGGCCCUUGACUAGUCAACUACGUGUAUGUGUGGCAUGGGUGUGGCACACCGAACUCCAGACACUGAGUUUCCAGGAAAAAAAAUAAAAUUGUCUGAAAUGUGAUAAAGCACGUAAUAUCAGCUCUGUACCUUCUCUCUCCCUUUCAUCCACCUGAUUUAUUGAAUCCCUUAUUUAUUGAACACUUGUAAUCAACCAGACACUGGACUGGAGAGUGAGGAUGUGAUAGAGAAUAAGACACAUUUCCUGACCCCAAAGGGUUCACCACCUAGUGUGGGUACACU
Molecule: long non-coding RNA, 1249 nt
Organism: Canis lupus familiaris (dog)
Lineage: Eukaryota; Metazoa; Chordata; Mammalia; Carnivora; Canidae
Exons: 3
Source: RefSeq, a predicted model, not a curated record